This is a long non-coding RNA of Anguilla rostrata (American eel), 1220 nucleotides long. RefSeq lists it as uncharacterized. The record is from RefSeq and is a predicted model, not a curated record. The transcript has 3 exons. Lineage: Eukaryota; Metazoa; Chordata; Actinopteri; Anguilliformes; Anguillidae.
ACUCUGUGCACACAUGUUUGUAUUUGACAUACAUUUUCAUGUUUGUAGUUCAUAUACAAUGCAAGCUAUUUGCUUCUUUUUGGUUUAUACCUCAUAGAGUACAUCUCCACUAUUUUGAUUGUGUUUUAUAUAUUUUGGGGUCUACACACCUAAUUCAUAUUUAACUGUGAUUUAAUUGAUUUUUUGAGUGUUGCAUUGACCUUCCUACCUUUACGCAUGUAUUUAUAUUAAACAACUCUGGAUUAAAGUAUCUGGUAGAUAAAUGUAAAGUGAAAUGCUAUCUCUGUUUAUUUGCAGCAGUAGAUAGGACAGCGCUUGUAUGGAUGGUUGUUGGAAUCACAGUGGCUUUUGCACUGUUUGCUAUCAUGGUGUGCACAAGCAGGAAGAAGAGCACCAACAGAGAGAGAGGGAGGAGCAGACGCUCUCGUACUAGCAGAGCCUUCAGAGAGACAAAUGCAGCCAGCGACACAAACUCUGUGCUUCAGAGAGCUGACGAGGCCUCAGUGUGGGAUUAAAACACACAGAGGAGAGAAUCUGCAGAGAAUGAGAAAUGGUGGAGAUCAGGGUGAAAGAGUCUCUUUUUGUCUUUAACUUUACAGAACUGCUGUCUGUUUCUGCUAGAUUAUCCAUUUUAUAAAGAGCUGUUGGUGGAGGAUUUUUCCCAGAGUACUGUAACCCUCUAACCAACAUGCAUGUUCAUGUAACCCUGCUGCAACAUGCAUGUUCAUGUAACCCUGCUGCAACAUGCAUGUUCAUGUAACCCUGCUGCAUACAUGCUCCUGUGACACCGUUACACGUUUAUAUAACCCUGUUACACACACGCACAUAACUCAUGUACAUGCACAUGUAUUCUCUCACAUUGAAUGGGAAGAUUAUAAUGCAGAUUAAUGUAGAUUAUAUUCUCCGAAGUCACUUUUAAAGGCAAGGUCCAAAAUACCUUAAAAGUGUUUUAGUUUGACAUUUUACAUCGCCUUGUUGUAUUGACCCCAUUUGUAUUUUCUGUCUGUUUAGCUAUUUGAAAUAAUGCAUUUUAAUUUGUUUUAUUUGCGUACAUUGUUUUAUUAUGUGUAUCAAUAUAUUAUUAUUUAUUUGUAAAGCACUGUGAACCUUGAACCUCUAUUUUGAUAAAGAUUAUAAUUAUUUUCUUUAUAUGGCCAUCAUGUUUUGCCUGCCAUCCCCCCCCCCCCCUCCAAAAACAAAAUAAUAAUAAUAAUAUUAUA